Molecule: ribosomal RNA, 119 nt
Filed under: Pteropus alecto (black flying fox)
Lineage: Eukaryota; Metazoa; Chordata; Mammalia; Chiroptera; Pteropodidae
Source: RNAcentral
AUCUAAGGCCAUGCUACCCUGAACAAACCCGAUCCCAUCUGAUCUCAGAAGCUAAGCAGGGUUGGGGCUGGUUAGUACUUUAAUGGGAGACCAUCUAAGAAGACCAGGUUCUGUAGGUG